This 595-nucleotide small RNA is filed under the name Histoplasma ohiense. Its description in RNAcentral is "hypothetical lncRNA". Lineage: Eukaryota; Fungi; Ascomycota; Eurotiomycetes; Onygenales; Ajellomycetaceae. The record is from RNAcentral.
AUCGCUGCUAAUCUAUCGCUGCCAACCUAUCUAUCGCUGCCAAUUUAUCUACCACUGCCAAUCUAUCUAUCACUGCUAAUCUAUCGCUGCUAAUCUAUUGCUGCUGCCAAUCUAUCUAUCACUGCUAAUAUAUCACUGCUAAUCUAUCUAUCGCUGCUAAUCUAUCGCUGCUGUCAAUCUAUCUAUCGCUGCUAAUCUAUCGCUGCUAAUCUAUCGCUGCUAAUCUAUCGCUGCUAAUCUAUCGCUGCCAACCUAUCUACCGCGGCGAAUCUAUCUAUUGCUGCCAACCAACCUACCUACCACUGCCAACCUAUCUAUCGCUGCCAAUCUAUCGCUGCCAACCUAUCGCUGCCAACCUAUCGCUGCCAACCUAUCUACUGCAGUGAAUCUAUCUAUCACUAUCAUUACUAGUUCAAAAUAGAACUAGAGCAUAAAUACACUAAACUUCUUUUGAUAGAUAAUGAUUUUUGAUAACACUCAUAGCAUUAUAUCAUCUAUAUAGGGUAAAUCAUGGUCCCAUUUGGUCCCAUUUUAACAAAAUGGGACCAAAUGGGAUCAGAAUCAGUAAUUUAUAAGAAGAACAUGACCUGGGACU